UUCACAUCGACGGGGUGGUUUGGCUCCUCGAUGUCGGCUCAUCGCCUCCCGGGGCUGUAGGCGGUCCCAAGGGUUGGGCUGUUCGCCCACUAAAGCGGUACGCGAGCUGGGUUCAGAACGUCGUGAGACAGUUCGGUCCCUAUCCGUCGUGGGCGUAGGAAAUUUGAGAGGAGCUGUCCUUAGUUCGAGAGGACCGGUAUGGACAUACCUCGGGUGUACCAG
Molecule: ribosomal RNA, 222 nt
Filed under: Staphylococcus aureus
Lineage: Bacteria; Bacillati; Bacillota; Bacilli; Caryophanales; Staphylococcaceae
Description: partial 23S ribosomal RNA
Rfam family: Bacterial large subunit ribosomal RNA
Source: RNAcentral